This is a non-coding RNA of Plectropomus leopardus (leopard coralgrouper), 1474 nucleotides long. The record is from RefSeq and is a predicted model, not a curated record. Lineage: Eukaryota; Metazoa; Chordata; Actinopteri; Perciformes; Serranidae.
AUCAGCAGCAGACUAAGCUGGGGCGUAGAAACGUCUUUUUUUCUUUACUCUAAUAUAAAAACAUUGCACAGAUAUUUUAACGGUGCUUCGUGUGAUAUUCAUGCGAUCUCCGACUUCCUGACAGAGGGAUCUUCGGGACAGUCGCCGCCUCUACCAGCCGCUGCGUUUACCCCCCCCCCCGGAGGCAAUAAAGCCGCGACUGGGAGAGGAAAAGGAGCAAGCAAGCCCUGCUAGAAAAGACUUUUGACGGCAAACAGACAGCCUGCCUCUGUGAGCUCCUUCUCGCCGGGAUGUGAAGACAGGACGCGGGAGAUGUGCGGUCUGUUGAUAUUUCCCACUCGCCAUCGUGACCCCUCAGCUGCUGCGCUGGACCAUAGUGAAGCUCCAAACUACGGAGAGCCUGCUAGGACAGUUCAUCGGGUCAAAAUGAGUGGCACCGUGGAUUUAUCAGUAAGUGUUAUCCAUCGCCCCACGCCUUUCCACCUGGCUUUAGUCAAGAGCUUUGACACUUCGUGGAGCUUGUUAUUUGGCUGUAGGCAAACAGCUGGCUCCACUGACAUCAAAUCCCUGCACUCUCAACGAACUGGUGCUCAUACGAGGACUGCGGUUUAACUUUUAACUUUUUUAAUUUUUCCCUUUCAAAUAUUAAACCUAAAACUGCCACUUAAGCUCGAAUUACUGUCCUCCUACAAACUACUUGUGUCUAGUUAAUAGCCAGAGAAGUUGCACUCUUGUUGCACAGGUGAACUGGAUUUAACGCUGCAGCAUGAGUCUAAUGAACCACAACAUUGCCAUAAUGAACUGCAAACCGACCAAUGGUUUCUGUGGGGCAUCUAGUAUCUAAAACCACCUCUGCUCCCCUGGCUGCUGCUGUUAUACGGUAUUCAUAUCCAACUAGUCUCCAGUCUGUCUGCACUUCAUUAAAACUUUUUAUUUUAACUGGACGAUCCAGUUUAACGUUAUUACACCUGGGGAGAGUAAACGUGUAGAGGCUAUUAGGUUAAGGGUUUGAUUAAAAGCGCAUCGUAACCAUUUUCAGGAGGGAGCGGAAUAUUGCUGCACUGUCUGCAUCCAGGUCAGGUGCUGCUGGGGCCACCAAAUUAAAAACACGCCAUGCAUGGACACAACCUCCACAUAGUUUCGCGCAGAUUUAUUUUGUUUACAUACGUACAUGUGUGAACACGCUUGUACGGCUGUUAUUUUGCAGGAGGGGUGGGGAAGAGGAGAAAAGCUUAACAAUUUCUCAAAUGAACAAAUGAAACAUCAAAUUAGUCCGCCUGAGGGCCUCAUUUUUUGUACUUCUACAUUAUAACUAGUUAUUGAACUAGGUGCACGAUCUGAAAGCCAUUUGUGGGGAGAAAGAAUUCAUUGCUGUCUCUCCAUCAAUAAUCCUUGGCAGUGAACUAUUGGAACCAGUCAAACGCGAGGGGUGAAACGCGGGUCAGGCUGUCUAACUAAUAUUAAAAUGCGUCCG